AUCGGUUUGUGGUACAGACCUAUUUAUGUAAGCCAUUUUAGUAAAGUUGUUCAGCAAAAAGCGAUAAUCCACUAUCACUUCUUCGACGAAUUUCCUUCUUAAAUACGUGCCCAUAAGUACAUGCUGGCAAGCAGACCCGCUAUCGCCAAAGGCGGUUUUCAACUUAAUGAAGGAAGUACAAAUGUCUAAUAAAGUAACUGGUUUAGUAAAAUGGUUUGACGCGGGUAAAGGUUUUGGUUUCAUCACUCCGGCUGACGGCAGCAAAGAUGUGUUUGUACAUUUUUCCGCCAUCCAGAGCAACGAUUUUAAAACCCUGGACGAAGGUCAGCGCGUAGAGUUCACCAUUGAGCAGGGUCAGAAAGGCCCGUCUGCUGCUAACGUGGUUGCCCUGUAAGACACGCGCCAAGGGCUGUUGGCGGGGGUGAAGCCCACCGUCUCG
RNAcentral lists this small RNA (439 nucleotides) under Sodalis glossinidius str. 'morsitans'. RNAcentral's name for it is "cspA thermoregulator". It matches the Rfam family "cspA thermoregulator". Lineage: Bacteria; Pseudomonadati; Pseudomonadota; Gammaproteobacteria; Enterobacterales; Bruguierivoracaceae. The record is from Rfam by way of RNAcentral.